RNAcentral lists this ribosomal RNA (301 nucleotides) under uncultured bacterium. RNAcentral describes it as "partial 16S ribosomal RNA". It matches the Rfam family "Bacterial small subunit ribosomal RNA", at positions 509 to 808 of the family's 1533-position model. The record is from RNAcentral.
CAGUCGCCACGGUAAUACGUAGGUCCCGAGUGUUGUCCGGAUUUAUUGGGCGUAAAGCGAGCGCAGGCGGUUAGAUAAGUCUGAAGUUAAAGGCUGUGGCUUAACCAUAGUACGCUUUGGAAACUGUUUAACUUGAGUGCAGAAGGGGAGAGUGGAAUUCCAUGUGUAGCGGUGAAAUGCGUAGAUAUAUGGAGGAACACCGGUGGCGAAAGCGGCUCUCUGGUCUGUAACUGACGCUGAGGCUCGAAAGCGUGGGGAGCAAACAGGAUUAGAUACCCGCGUAGUCCCUGUCUCUUAUACA